GGUCAAGCUGUGCACUCUAGACAGACUGCCGUGGACAACACGGAGGAAGGUGGGGAGUGACGUCAAAUCAUCAUGCCCCUUAUGAUCUGGGCUACACACGUGCUACAAUGGCCGGUACAACGGGCAGCGAAGGAGCGAUCCGGAGCGAAUCCUAAAAAGACCGGUCCCAGUUCGGAUUGCAGGCUGAAACUCGCCUACAUGAAGUUGGAGUUGCUAGUAAUCGCGAAUCAGAAUGUCGCGGUGAAUGCGUUCCCGGGUCUU
This 261-nucleotide ribosomal RNA is filed under the name uncultured Fusibacter sp. RNAcentral describes it as "partial 16S ribosomal RNA". It matches the Rfam family "Bacterial small subunit ribosomal RNA", at positions 1124 to 1382 of the family's 1533-position model. The record is from RNAcentral. Lineage: Bacteria; Bacillati; Bacillota; Clostridia; Eubacteriales; Fusibacteraceae.